Long non-coding RNA from Dreissena polymorpha, 467 nucleotides. RefSeq lists it as uncharacterized. The transcript has 3 exons. The record is from RefSeq and is a predicted model, not a curated record. NCBI's taxonomy places the organism in Eukaryota, Metazoa, Mollusca, Bivalvia, Myida, Dreissenidae.
UUAAACGUCAUAGUUGAGUUCCGAUAAUUUAACCGAUUAAUAUUUCAUCCGCCUUUUUAUUGACUCAUUAAUGAUAACUGCAUGUACUCAUAAUUUGCGUUUCUGGAACAGUGCGUGCGGAUACAUUAAUAUAGGGCUGUAAUCAAGAUAAGAAAAGUGUCUUCAUCCGUUUUGCCCGUAUGCCGAUAGAUAAUUCUGGUUUUAAAGACAGACGACAUUUUUCUUGGUUCACAGCAGACAAGCGUGGCGUUCAGGCGAUACCGGUAGAAAGUGCUGAGUGAUGACGUCAUCAUCGUCUGCUCUCAUAUUGCGCGCGCUGACUGAUGGUACGACAGUAUUUUCAAGAGAAUCGUGACACGAGUUGUUAUAAACAAAUUAUAAGACGUUUACAUACAGAAUGAACCGUAAUUCCAAGAAUUUGACAUUGAUGUUUUUGGUAACUUAUUGCGAAAUUUAUUGGAUUUAGU